Molecule: ribosomal RNA, 617 nt
Filed under: Meyerozyma guilliermondii
Lineage: Eukaryota; Fungi; Ascomycota; Pichiomycetes; Serinales; Debaryomycetaceae
Description: partial large subunit ribosomal RNA
Rfam family: Eukaryotic large subunit ribosomal RNA
Source: RNAcentral
AGCUCCUUUCCUUAGAAGCACGCGAGUGAAUCGGCAAAGCUCAAUUUGAAAUCUGGCACCUUCGGUGUGGAGAAAAAAGUUGAAGAUUGUAACCUUGGGGUUGGCUCUUCUCCUGUUUCUUGGAACAGGACGUCACAGAGGGUGAGAAUCCCGUGCGAUGAGAUGCCCAAUCCUAUGUAAGGUGCUUUCGAAGAGUCCAGUUGUUUGGGAAUGCCGCUCUUAGUGGGUGGUAAAUUCCAUCUAAAGCUAAAUAUUGGCGAGAGACCGAUAGCGAACAAGUACACUGAUGGAAAGAUGAAAAGAACUUUGAAAAAAGAGUGAAAAAGUACGUGAAAUUGUUGAAAGGGAAGGGGUUGAGAUCACACUCGAUAUUUUUUGAGCCUUGCCUUCCUGGGGGGGGGACCCCCCGCUUAUCUGGGCUUCCUCGGUUUGGGGGCGAGGAUAAUGCCGGAGGGAAGUGACUUUGCUUUCGCGUAGAGUUAUAACCCGCGUUGAUGUUGCCUGUUUAGAUUUAGGACUGCGAUUUUUUCUACGAAGGGGGUCUCAUGAUCGUCCCCCCCCCCCCCCUUAAAAAAAAAGACAAACAAAGCCCCUCUUAACACGAAAAAAUCGGGUCU